UUGGCUUUUCUUUUUUUAGAGGGCAUGGAAUAGGCCGAGGGAGGGGCAGCGCGUGAAAGGGAGCGUUGGUGGGGUGGUCGUUGGGGGGCUGGUUGCCGGGUGGGCCGAGGCCGCGCGGACGGCCAGGGCGGAGGAAGGCCGAGGCCACGCGGACGGCCAGGGCGGAGGAAGGCCGAGGCCGCGCGGACGGCCAGGGCGGAGGAAGGCCGAGUGGCGGCGGGGUCGGAGGAUGCCCGCGCCCCGGCAGCCGCGCUCCGGCGGCGGCGGGGGUGGAGGAGGACCGGGCGGCCGCUGGGACGGAGAAGGACGGCACCGCCGGCGGAGGAGGUCCGUGCGGCGCGGGGACGGAGGAAGGCUGCGCUCCGGCGACGGAGGAGGUCCGUGCGGCCCCGGGGACGGAGGAAGGCCGAGUUCCCGUGAAGGCGGUGCUCCAUCGUUGGGAGGAAGUGGGUGGCUGGCUACACAGCGGCGGAGGCGACUAGGUGAGGGGAGGAGACCGAGGACCAGCUACUAGGGCCGAGUAGGACGACGAGCGGAGGAGGGAGCGCAUACGUAGUUGUUUUUUAUCCACCCAGCGACUUCAGGUUCAGCACGGUAUCGUCAUCCCGCUGAGAAGAUCCUGCGUAGAGUGCGAGUUGGCCGAGGUUAAAACGCGCGUACCCCAACCACGACGAGGUCGCUCGAGGAGGUAGGGGUCGAACAGGGACUUACACCUGCGACGUGGCGCGUCCAACUUAAAGUGGGACGUAGGGGCUGCAUCUCGACGAGGCCGAGGAGGGGGCGAACGACGGUCCAGACAGAGAGGAAGGAGGGGACGAGCGGCAGGACACGCCGCCACCUGCACCGAUGAACUACCUCACUUCGGCCGGAGGCUCGUGGCCGUCAACGUGACGUGGGACGUUUUUUUUCUUGUCGGCGUUCAAGUAUUAGUCUUUUUACUCCUCAAGUUCUUCUUGUUUCCCUGUUGGUACAACUACCGCUAACUUUUUCCUAAGACUUUAUUAUAAUAACUCUGACUUCUGGUUCAAACUAUUACGUGCUACAGUCUCCUAAGGUCCCGAAAGAGACUCCACCAACUACCGAAGGCUCUUUACGCAAGUAUAGAAUGUUCAAAGUCCCCAAGUUCAAGUAGAUAUAUUCUUCCUUACGGUUAAAACAACGUGUAGACACACACUUUCUCCGCGAUUUUGAACUACACGAAUGAUAAAGAAAAGAACAUUGUGGAUCGAUGUAGUGCACCAAAGUUAUAAAAACUGACGGUACCGGGCUGUGGAGGAGGUAGAACCACGGCGGCAGUACUGGAUCGGAUGUAAACGACCAACGACGAUCGACGACAACAACGCAGGACGGAGCGGCAGAUUGACUACAAUCACGCG
Molecule: ribosomal RNA, 1376 nt
Filed under: Triticum aestivum (bread wheat)
Lineage: Eukaryota; Viridiplantae; Streptophyta; Magnoliopsida; Poales; Poaceae
Description: partial small subunit ribosomal RNA
Source: RNAcentral